RNAcentral lists this small nucleolar RNA (73 nucleotides) under Pelusios castaneus (West African mud turtle). Lineage: Eukaryota; Metazoa; Chordata; Testudines; Pelomedusidae. The record is from RNAcentral.
CUUCUGAUGAUGAGACCUUUGUCCAGUUCUGCUGCUGAUUGGAGAGGGAUGACAAUUUGUGAGGCUGAAGAAG